GACAGAGGGUGCAAACGUUGUUCGGAAUUACUGGGCGUAAAGCGCGUGUAGGCUGCUUAGCAAGUCGGGUGUGAAAGCCCUGGGCUCAACCUAGGAAGUGCACUCGAAACUGCGGAGCUGGAGUCCUGGAGAGGAAGGCGGAAUUCUCGGUGUAGAGGUGAAAUUCGUAGAUAUCGAGAGGAACACCGGUGGCGAAGGCGGCCUUCUGGACAGUGACUGACGCUGAGACGCGAAAGCGUGGGGAGCAAACAGG
This 253-nucleotide ribosomal RNA is filed under the name uncultured bacterium. Its description in RNAcentral is "partial 16S ribosomal RNA". It matches the Rfam family "Bacterial small subunit ribosomal RNA", at positions 524 to 776 of the family's 1533-position model. The record is from RNAcentral.